ACUGGAGAUGAUGGGACGGAGAUAGCAAGGUUAAAGGAGUGUCUUGGAAAGGCAUUUGAAGUGAAGGAUCUUGGUCAGAUGAUGUAUUUUCUGGGUAUUGAGAUUGCAAGAUCUGCCAAAGGGAUAGCCUUGUCCCAGCGCAAGUACACCUUGGAUCUCCUCAGUGAUAUGGGAAUGUUAGAGUGUCGAGCUGCUACUACCCCAAUUGACCAAAACCAUAAGGUAACAACACAAUCUGGAGAUCUAGUGGAUAAGGAGAAAUACCAAAGACUGGUAGGGCGUUUACUAUACUUGUGUCACACAAGGCCAGACAUUGCCUAUGUUGUGAGCAUAGUGAGUAGGUAUAUGCAUGAGCCCAGAAGUGGACAUGUGGAGGCAGCACACAGAAUUCUGAAGUAUUUGAAGGGAACACCAGGAAGAGGACUGUGGUUCGAAGGGAAUGGCCACUUGGUAGUUGAUGGGUAUAGUGAUGCAGACUGGGCAAGUUGCCUGGAUGAUCGUCGAUCAAUAUCUGGGUAUUGUGUGUUUGUGGGAGGUAACUUAGUUUCAUGGAGAAGCAAGAAGCAGCCAGUUGUAUCAAAAUCAACAGCAGAAGCAGAAUAUAGAGCCAUGUCUCAGGGGUUAAGUGAGAUGUUGUGGGUGAGAAACCUUCUAAGUGAAUUGAAAUUGCUAAGAGAAGGACCUCUGAAUGUCUGGUGUGACAACAGGUCUGCUAUAUGCAUAGCUAACAACCCAGUGCAACAUGACAGAACUAAGCAUGUAGAGAUUGAUCGAUUCUUCAUCAAAGAGAAG
Molecule: ribosomal RNA, 792 nt
Filed under: Triticum aestivum (bread wheat)
Lineage: Eukaryota; Viridiplantae; Streptophyta; Magnoliopsida; Poales; Poaceae
Description: partial small subunit ribosomal RNA
Source: RNAcentral